Non-coding RNA from Maylandia zebra (zebra mbuna), 854 nucleotides. Lineage: Eukaryota; Metazoa; Chordata; Actinopteri; Cichliformes; Cichlidae. The record is from RefSeq and is a predicted model, not a curated record.
CCAUCCCUGUUAUCCCUGGUCCAGAAGCAGCUGCUGCUCUUCCUCGGUAUAGCCCUUUCUCUCUCUCCCUUCCUUCAUUUCUUUCAUUUCCCCAAAGCUCGCCUUACCUCCUUUACCAAGGAAAUCCUGAAUCCUGCACAGAAACUGGACCACAACACUGCAACUACACACUGCAGGCCACAACAAAACCUUCCAAAACCCACUGACGGAACAUAUCCAUCAUGCCAGAAGACGCCUACCUGUCUUCCAUGAAGCCGCCCUUCCCAACACUCACUCCCCAUCCCAGGUUUGACGCGAGCCCGACAGCUUUCAGCCUCCUGACCACCACAGCACUUCUGCCACGUGAGCGCUUUCACAUAGAAGGAUCCACCCUCCUGAUUGUGGUCAUUUUUUGCGUGGUCUUUGUCCUGCUCCUUUCAGCCUUUUUCUACGCCUUCUGCUUCCAUUGCUCCAUCAGUACGUCGCUUAAAGACUCGCAUGCAGAUAACGGAUGCAGCCUAGAUCAUGAGGACGCCACAUAUAAGUGCAGCUCAUCUGAUAACCAGUCAGUAGGGAAUGUUGUCUGACUGUGAUGCCAGACCAAGAUAAUUGUCAUGUGGUUGUGAUUAAGCUUUCUUGGGAAUUUCCUGCAGUAGCAGUGCAAUGAAAGCAUAAUUCCAAAACAGUAUUGUUAGUAGGAUUCCUCCUAAGCUCACAUGAGUUUAGGUAAGACGAAUCCAAAUGCACUUAAAUGUCAUAGAUCCAUAGCUAUUGUGUCCAAUAAAAAUCUGUUGAAUAUAUGUAUAAUAUAUGUGCACAUGAGUCUGAAUGCCACUGAAUCACAAGAAAAACAAUAAUAAAUGCAUUGGCACCCA